This 484-nucleotide ribosomal RNA is filed under the name uncultured bacterium. RNAcentral describes it as "partial 16S ribosomal RNA". It matches the Rfam family "Bacterial small subunit ribosomal RNA", at positions 28 to 523 of the family's 1533-position model. The record is from RNAcentral.
GACGAACGCUGGCGGCGUGCUUAACACAUGCAAGUCGAACGAUGAACCCGGAGCUUGCUCCGGCGGAUUAGUGGCGAACGGGUGAGUAACACGUGAGUAACCUGCCCUUGACUCUGGGAUAACUGCUAGAAAUGGUAGCUAAUACCGGAUACGACCCUCGGUGGCAUCACCAGGGGGUGGAAAGAAUUUCGGUCAAGGAUGGACUCUCGGCCUAUCAGCUAGUUGGUGAGGUAACGGCUCACCAAGGCGACGACGGGUAGCCGGCCUGAGAGGGUGACCGGCUACACUGGGACUGAGACACGGCCCAGACUCCUACGGGAGGCAGCAGUGGGGAAUAUUGCACAAUGGGCGCAAGCCUGAUGCAGCAACGCCGCGUGAGGGAUGACGGCCUUCGGGUUGUAAACCUCUUUUAGUAGGGAAGAAGCGAAAGUGACGGUACCUGCAGAAAAAGCACCGGCUAACUACGUGCCAGCCGCCGCAGUAA